RNAcentral lists this ribosomal RNA (497 nucleotides) under uncultured bacterium. RNAcentral describes it as "partial 16S ribosomal RNA". It matches the Rfam family "Bacterial small subunit ribosomal RNA", at positions 28 to 507 of the family's 1533-position model. The record is from RNAcentral.
GAUGAACGCUGGCGGCGUGCCUAAUACAUGCAAGUCGAGCGAACAGACGCUGAGCUUGCUGCGCUCACGUUAGCCGCGGACGGGUGAGUAACAUGUGUAUCACCUCCCUAUCAUUCUGGUAACACUUCGGGAAUCCGGAUCUAAUACCGUAUAAUCUCUUGCUCCGCAGGGUUGGAUAGAGAGAGACGGUUUUGCGGUCACGUCUAGAUGGAUCCCCGCUGUUUGAGGUGGUUGGUAGGUUAACGGCUUACGAAGGCAACGAUGCGUAGCCGACGUGCCGGGGGGAUAGGCCGCACGGGAACGUGGACAGCGACCAGGCUACUACGGGAGGCACCAGUAGGGAAUCUGCCGCAAUAGGCGAAAGCCUGACGGAGCAACGCCGAGUGAGUGAUGAAGGUCUUCGGAUCGUAAAACUCUGUUAUGAGGGAAGAACAAAUGUGGAAGUAAAUAUAGAGGUCGUGACGGUACCUAAUCAGAAAGCCACGGCUAACUACGUG